GCUCCGGGGGCGCCCGGCUGGGCCCAGCUCCGCGGGCGCGCCCCCGUCACCCCCUCCCAGGCCAGUUCAGGGCAGCGCCAAGGGGCCGCGGGCUCAGGCUGAGGCCUCCUCCUGCCUAGGCGUCUGGCGUCCGUUUGUCUGUCCGAGGCCUCAGCGCAGGUAAAGCGCGGGGCUGGGGGGCGCAGAGCUCCAUUGGGCUGGGAACCAGCGCGUCUCGUGCCCUUGGGGGACCCGCCUGCCCGAGCCGCCUGCUAAGCCUCCCGCUCCCCUCCACGCUGGAGCGCGCGGAGCCCGGUCUGCUCGGAACUCCACUCUGCGGGAGCGGAGGCCGGCGCCAGCCCGGGAAGCCGCGCAGGGGGCGGGAGGCCGAGCGCGAGGCCCUUGGCGCCGGGCCUCCGCGGCCAGGCCGGGCAGCUUACGAUUCUUCAUCAACUCGUAAAAUGAGAUCGCCGCGGAGCUCGAGCCUAUUUGGCGUCUCCGGAGACUAGCAAGACCCUCUGAAAGACACCGCGUCCCCAGGGAUAAUCCCCCGUGUCCGGCAAAGCUGCCCCGCUCGAGCGCGAACCCUGGGACCCAGCGCGGGAGGCAGACCAGCAGCUGGCCGCUGGGCUGUGAACGCCAGGACCGAGCGGAAGCUUCCCGCCCGGCCGCGAUCGGUGCCGCGGCUCUCAGGGAAGUGGCUACGCGCGUCCCUCGGGAAAGCAGGUAAUUCGCCUUUUUCU
RNAcentral lists this long non-coding RNA (722 nucleotides) under Homo sapiens (human). RNAcentral describes it as "GATA2 antisense RNA 1". Lineage: Eukaryota; Metazoa; Chordata; Mammalia; Primates; Hominidae. The record is from RNAcentral.